AUGAUGUCACUUUAUUUCUUGAAGUCCUCAGGUAUUCUCUGGACUAGCAGGAGAAUGAACAGCUCUUUAGCUAAAGGCCUCAUCUGGUGUGACUCUGCCUUCUCUCUCCAGAGAGGCAUACUGCAUUCUUACAUUCUGGAGAUAAAAGAAGAUAUCCUGGCUGCCAGCAAAGUGGGAGAUGAUGAUAAAUAGAACGAGUGGACCAUAUCUUACAACUAGAGCCAAAUUUCUCAUGCUCGCAGAUGGCAAAACCAGUUAACUCCCCUUCUGGAAUUAAACCUUAACGAGGCUUAUUUCUUUCUGGGCCUACCAUGGAUAUCAUUUACACUGGGUAAGAAUGCAAUUUGUUAAUUACUUACUGGACUCAAGCAUUUUAACAGUCUAGAGAAUCAGUUUUUAUUCAGAUGGUGUUACUUUCCCAGAGUUAC
This 428-nucleotide long non-coding RNA is filed under the name Sus scrofa (pig). RNAcentral's name for it is "lncRNA (ENSSSCG00015059547.1)". The record is from RNAcentral. Lineage: Eukaryota; Metazoa; Chordata; Mammalia; Artiodactyla; Suidae.